GACGAACGCUGGCGGCGUGCUUAACACAUGCAAGUCGAGCGGUAAGGCCCUUUCGGGGGUACACGAGCGGCGAACGGGUGAGUAACACGUGGGUGACCUGCCCUCAGCUCUGGGAUAAGCCUGGGAAACCGGGUCUAAUACUGGAUAUGACUCCAUGACGCAUGUUGUGGGGUGGAAAGCCUUGUGCGGCUGAGGAUGGGCCCGCGGCCUAUCAGCUUGUUGGUGGGGUGAUGGCCUACCAAGGCGACGACGGUAGCCGGCCUGAGAGGCGACCGGCCACACUGGGACUGAGACACGGCCCAGACUCCUACGGGAGGCAGCAGUGGGGAAUCUUGCGCAAUGGGCGAAAGCCUGACGCAGCGACGCCGCGUGAGGGAUGACGGCCU
This 386-nucleotide ribosomal RNA is filed under the name uncultured bacterium. RNAcentral describes it as "bacterial SSU rRNA". It matches the Rfam family "Bacterial small subunit ribosomal RNA", at positions 28 to 417 of the family's 1533-position model. The record is from RNAcentral.